This 235-nucleotide ribosomal RNA is filed under the name uncultured bacterium. RNAcentral's name for it is "partial 16S ribosomal RNA". It matches the Rfam family "Bacterial small subunit ribosomal RNA", at positions 96 to 334 of the family's 1533-position model. The record is from RNAcentral.
CGGCGGACGGGUGAGUAACGCGUAGGAAUCUACCCAGUAGUGGGGGACAACAUGGUGAAAACCAUGCUAAUACCGCAUACGCCCUAAGGGGGAAAGCGGGGGACCUUCGGGCCUCGCGCUAUUGGAUGAGCCUGCGUCGGAUUAGCUUGUUGGUGAGGUAAAGGCUUACCAAGGCGACGAUCCAUAGCUGGUUUGAGAGAAUGAUCAGCCACACUGGGACUGAGACACGGCCCAG